GCGAUCAUACCAGCACUAAUGCACCGGAUCCCAUCAGAACUCCGCAGUUAAGCGUGCUUGGGCGAGAGUAGUACUAGGAUGGGUGACCUCCUGGGAAGUCCUUGUGUUGCACCCC
RNAcentral lists this ribosomal RNA (115 nucleotides) under Tetracentron sinense. Lineage: Eukaryota; Viridiplantae; Streptophyta; Magnoliopsida; Trochodendrales; Trochodendraceae. The record is from RNAcentral.